GGUGAAAUGGCUGAAAUUAGGCGGUAGAUUGUAAAUCUACUUAUGGUUGUAAUAACCUUUCAUCA
RNAcentral lists this transfer RNA (65 nucleotides) under Sycanus bifidus. Its description in RNAcentral is "Sycanus croceovittatus tRNA-Tyr". It matches the Rfam family "tRNA". From Rfam's summary of the family: Transfer RNA (tRNA) molecules are approximately 80 nucleotides in length. The record is from RNAcentral. Lineage: Eukaryota; Metazoa; Arthropoda; Insecta; Hemiptera; Reduviidae.